CCUACGGGAGGCAGCAGUGGGGAAUAUUGGACAAUGGGCGAAAGCCUGAUCCAGCAAUGCCGCGUGAGUGAUGAAGGCCUUCGGGUCGUAAAGCUCUUUUACCAGGGAUGAUAAUGACAGUACCUGGAGAAUAAGCUCCGGCUAACUCCGUGCCAGCAGCCGCGGUAAUACGGAGGGAGCUAGCGUUGUUCGGAAUUACUGGGCGUAAAGAGUACGUAGGCGGUUAUUCAAGUCAGAGGUGAAAGCCCGGGGCUCAACCCCGGAACUGCCUUUGAAACUAGAUAACUAGAGUCUUGGAGAGGUUAGUGGAAUUCCGAGUGUAGAGGUGAAAUUCGUAGAUAUUCGGAAGAACACCAGUGGCGAAGGCGACUAACUGGACAAGUACUGACGCUGAGGUACGAAAGCGUGGGGAGCAAACAGGAUUAGAUACCCUGGUAGUCCACGCCGUAAACGAUGAUAACUAGUUGUUCGGUCACUUGGUGACUGAGUGACGCAGCUAACGCAUUAAGUUAUCCGCCUGGGGAGUACGGUCGCAAGNUUAAAACUCAAAGGAAUUGACGGCUGAAGCGNGCGAGCGACGACGAGGAGAG
Molecule: ribosomal RNA, 590 nt
Filed under: uncultured bacterium
Lineage: Bacteria
Description: bacterial SSU rRNA
Rfam family: Bacterial small subunit ribosomal RNA
Source: RNAcentral